This 202-nucleotide long non-coding RNA is filed under the name Elaeis guineensis (African oil palm). Its description in RNAcentral is "long non-coding RNA (EGUI_LNC027818)". Lineage: Eukaryota; Viridiplantae; Streptophyta; Magnoliopsida; Arecales; Arecaceae. The record is from RNAcentral.
AGCAUGGCAGAGCUCUUCGAUCCGUCGGUUCAUCUCUUGGAACCUUUGAUCCAGGAGAUCCUCUCGAUCGCGAGUCUCGAGGAUCUUCUGGCAAAAUGGAGGUAGAGACCCUCUGGGGGUAGAAUCGUGAUCAGACAGAGGGCUCUCCGCCUUUUGCUUCCCUUUUUCGAGGAAUACAGGGCGACUGACCCAAGUGGGCUGU